Molecule: long non-coding RNA, 3552 nt
Filed under: Homo sapiens (human)
Lineage: Eukaryota; Metazoa; Chordata; Mammalia; Primates; Hominidae
Description: non-protein coding lnc-RIMKLA-1:2
Source: RNAcentral
AGUAGUGCCCUGAGACUCCCGAGGCUCUGCAUCGGCGCAGCCGGUGUCAUCUAGCGGCCGGCAGUUCCGAGCGACUUGGGGUCCUUGUGCCUCGGAGUGGCGUCUGGGAGCAAAGGCGGCGGAGGCAACCCCGCAGUUGAGGACAGUAGGGAUCGGUGGCUUUGGACCCUGCCCACGGAUACCUGGGGCCCCAUGCCCCGAAGGAAUGGUGCCUUCUGCCCUCCCCCGCCCCCCAACAUCCGCCACCUCACCGAAGCGCCCGGCACCUUAGCCUCCUCUCCAGGAAAGCGGACGCCUUUUCCGACCUGGCACACCGCGGAUUCCGGGACCCCCAACAAAGGCGCCUUGGACCUUCAGGACACCCCUCUUUUCAGAACUUCAUGAGUCCCAGGUGCUAGACUCAUGUCUGCGGAGGCCUUUCCCGUGCCUGGUCUUUCUUUCUUUCUUAAAGGAGUUGGACCUCUAAAGGCCCUUCUAAUUCUCAAGGUAGCUACCCAGGUUAUGGUACUACUAUCAGUAGGUGGAGCGUUUAGAAGGGUAGUUUGGUCGACGAGUGAACUUUGGAAUUUACUUCUACGUCAGUCUUCACUGAUUCUUUCUCUAAACUAUUAGCACUGAUAAUCUGCCCUAUAAUUUCACACUUAAUUACAUUCCAGUGUAGUAUUUGCUGUUGCUUCAUUCGCGUUAGUCACAUAUUCCCCUGCAGCGCCAAACACGCUUUUGAACUCACAAUGGGUGGCUCAAUAUUUGGAGACUUAGAUAUUUGUUAGAUGAAUACUAGGCUGAUUGGAUGAGAGGAAAAGGAGAGGCAUGAGUGAAUUGGCCCUGGGUACUUUUUUGACAUAGUCUCAAAGGGUUCAGAUAAAGACCUCCAGCAGAUCUGAGCACACAAUUCCUUCAGUAAACAUUGAACACCUGCCGUUUGGUCAAGCAUUUCUAGGCACUGGAGAUUCAAAGUAUUCACAUAUUCCUUUUCUUUAUAAGACUAGCAAGAUUCUGAAGAUUCAUGUACUCAUUCACUCAACAAAUAUUUGCCAAUCACUACUAAGGUUGCCAGACACUAUUUUAGUGCUUGGGAUGUAUCAGUAAACAGAAGAGAGAGAGAAAACAAAUACCCUUCCCUGUUGGAGCUUUCAUUCUAAUAUAAGGAGAAAGAUGAUAAAUGUAAGAGAAUUAUGUAAUAUGUUAGAAGGCAUAUGGGGAAAAAAAAAUACACCAGGGUAAGGGGUAUGAGGAAAACUGGAGGAAGGGGGUUUGCAAUUUUUUUUUAAGAGGGAAUCCUGCUCUCCCGCCCAGGCUGGAGUGCAGUGGCGCGAUCUCAGCUCACUGCAACUCCCGGGUUCAAGUGAUUCUCCUGCCUCAGCCUCCUAAGUAGCUGGGAUUACAGGCGCGCGCUACCACACCCGGCUAAUUUUUGUAUUUUUAGUAGAGAUGGGGUUUCACCAUGUUGGCCAGGCUGGUCUCAAACUCCCGAACUCAAAAGUGAUCCGCGCUCUUCGGCCUCCCAAAGUGCUGGCAUUACAGGCCUGAGCCACCGCGCCUGGCCUGCAAUUUUAAAUAGAGCCGUCAGCAUGGGCCUCAUUUAUAAAAUGACUUUAAAUCGGAGACCUGAAAGAGCUGAGGGAGUCAGCCAUGCAGUUGUCUGGGGAAGAGUGUCCCAGGCAGAAGGAACAGCUAGCUGGUGGAAAGGCCUGGAGACAAAAGCCUCGGGAAGUGUUAAAAAUAAUGAGAAGGCCAGGACGGUUGGAGCCGUGAGCAAAUGGGAGCCUAAUGAGGAGAUAAGAUCAGAGAGAGGGGUCUCAAGUAGGGAGCUGUAGGAAUCUUGGCUGAAACAGAACCACUGCUGGGCUUUGAACAGAGGAGUGAUAGGAUCUGACUCGUGCUUUCAAAAGAUCACUCUGGCCGCCGUGCUAAGAGCAGAACUAAGAGGACAAUGGUGGAAGCCAGAGGCUCCAUUACCCAGGUACAGAAUGAUGGCUUGAACUAGAUAGUAGCAAUGAGUAAGAUAAAUAAGAUGCAGUCUCAGCCGGGCACAGUGGCGCUUGACUGUAAUCCCAGUUAUUAAGGAGGCUGAGGCAGGAGGAUAGGAUCACUUGAGCCCAGGAGUUCAAGUGCAGCCCGGGCAACACAGCAAGCCCCCAUCUCUAAAAAAUAAAUAACGUACAGUCUGUCUAUGGUCUCCCAACACUUAGGCAGAGGCGGAAGAUUGCGUGAGCACAAGAGUUCAAGACUAGCCUGGGCAACAUAAGGAGACUGUCUCUACAAAAAUAAAAAAAUUAGCCGGCAGGGUGGUGUGCAUCCUUGGUCCCAGCUAUGUGGGAGGCUGAGAUGGGAGGAUUGGGCCCAAGAGGUCAAGGCUGCAGUGAGUUGUGACUGCGCCACUGCACUCCAGCCUGGGUAACAGAGUGAGACCCUGUCUUUAAAAAAAAAAAAAGAGAGAGAAACUAGACUUAGCUCCAAGUCUGGAGCUUUUGGGGUUUUCUUCCUUUAUAAAAAUUUUUUAACUUUAUAGAAAUGGGAUCUCACUAUGUUGCUCAGACUUGUCUUGAACUCCUGUUUAGCACCACCUCUUACAAGUGUUGGGCAGCUCCGCUUCUCUCACUUGUCUGGAAUUCUAAGGCACUUCCCUGAAGUGCUCAUCCUGAGCUAAUAUGGGAUAGGGCUGGAGAGAGAACAGAGGUGGAUAGCUGCCAGAAUGAGGUGGGAAGGUGGGGAUCAGCAGCCUUUGGGAAGGAAAGAAGUAUGAGUCCCAGGGUAUUAAAAGGUGGAGGGGCAAUAAAAUUUAUUACAUAUGGGAUUCAUACUAAAUGAGUAGAUUUUAGCUUCUCUUGCCACAAUAAACAAAAAAAAUGGAUAACUGUGUGAGAUGAUGGCUCUGUUAAUUUGCUUCACUAUAGUGACUUUUUGACUAUCCCAUAACAUCAUGUUGUGUACCUUAAAUAUAUAGAUUUAAAAAAGUGGAGGAGUAUCUCUCCUCAAAAAAAAAAAAAAGAAAAAAAGAAAGAAAGAAAGAAUAAAGCAGGCCGGGCAUGGUGGCUAACGCCUGUAAUCCCAGCACUUUGGGAGGCCCAGGUGGGAGGAUCACUUGAGCUCAUGAGGUUGAGACCAACCUGGGCAACAAAGUGACACCCUGACUCUAAGAAAAAUAAAAAAUAAAUAAAAAGCUAGGAUGGCCAAAGCAGCAGGGGGAAUUCUGGAACAUUGUGAGGAGGAAAAGCUUAAAGCCUAGAUUGAGAAGGCAGACCUAGAUUCAAGUCUAAUAUUCCAUAGCUUACUUCCUUUGUGCCUACAUCAGUUAUUUAGUUUCUCUUAGCCUCUGUUUCCCUGCCUAUAAUAUGGGAACAAUAAUCAUAGCUAUGUAGCAAAAGAGACCAUGCACAGGCUGCCAAAAAUAAAGGUCCCCAAGACAGCUGUUAUUAUUUAUAAGGUCCCAGUGUCAGCACAGAAAAGAGUAUAGUAGUUGACUGUCUUGGGAGACGGGAGUGGACUAGAAGGGAGGGUGCAGAGCAGGAUAGCCUUCAAAGAGGAGAUAUUAUCCAGCUCAAGGGACAG